AACGAACGCUGGCGGUAUGCCUAACACAUGCAAGUCGCACGAGAAAGUACUUCGGUAUGAGUAGAGUGGCGCACGGGUGAGUAACACGUAGGUGACCUUCCGAAUAGUGGGGGAUAACUCGGAGAAAUCCGGGCUAAUACCGCAUAUGUACGACAAAUCUGAGAGUAGUCGUAGAAAGAGUGCCUCUACUUGUAAGCAUUCGCUAAUCGAUGGGCCUGCGGAGCAUUAGCUAGUUGGUGGGGUAAUGGCCUACCAAGGCUACGAUGCUUAACGGAUCUGAGAGGAUGAUCCGUCACACUGGAACUGAGACACGGUCCAGACUCCUACGGGAGGCAGCAGUGGGGAAUAUUGCGCAAUGGACGCAAGUCUGACGCAGCGAAUACCGCGUGAGUGAGGAAGGCCU
Molecule: ribosomal RNA, 403 nt
Filed under: uncultured bacterium
Lineage: Bacteria
Description: bacterial SSU rRNA
Rfam family: Bacterial small subunit ribosomal RNA
Source: RNAcentral